This 550-nucleotide long non-coding RNA is filed under the name Phasianus colchicus (ring-necked pheasant). RNAcentral's name for it is "lncRNA (ENSPCLG00000008702.1)". Lineage: Eukaryota; Metazoa; Chordata; Aves; Galliformes; Phasianidae. The record is from RNAcentral.
AUGCAGAGCAGUUCAGCAGGAAUCCACCCCUGUGUGCUCAAAUCAAGAGAGAAUCAGAUUGAUCCUCCAGCUCAGCGAAGGACAUGGUUUCUUUGGACCACCAAUGCAUCUGAUUCCAAAAGCAGAACUUAUGAUGAGACUGUCUUGUUUAGGAUUGCAACUCAGUCAGGUGAAGACACCAAAGCCAAAUGGGCAGCCCAGCAGUCCCAUGUUCCAGUGAGCACCUGACCACCAUCAGCUGGGAUGGAGUCUCAGGCUUAAACCCUAUUACACCUUGAGUUGCUGACUCAGUAAAUCAGAAAAGACUUUGGCAACAUCUGCUUGUGAUCCUGUAACCAGAUCAACAGACUUUGAGCCAGCACAGGGAUAUGAAGUGAAGGUCGGGAGCGCAAGGCAUUAGCCAAUACUAUUCUCAUCAUCUCCAGACGUUUUCUCUGAAGUGGUUUAUCCAUACUCCAAACUGGAUCAAGCCAAAAAGGGAGUGCUAGCUUUAAGGCAUACAUGGUAUAUACUUAAUAAAAGGAAGCUUUCAAGAGAGGAAUGUAUGAGA